AAAAAUAGAAGAGACAUCCUUCUUCUCCCGCUCACCGUGUGAAUGUGGCUACCUCAGGGCACCAGUUUUCGUUCGGAGAUGGCCCUAUCCGAGACAGUGUAUACGGCAGGGUGACCAAGAGACGUUGAUAUCUUGAAAUAUCUCUUGAGUCCUUUGAAAUGCGACCUGACGUGGCGAGGCCUCCCUGACCAUGGGCUCGCGACCCAUGCACAAUCUUGUGGAGGAGGAUGCAGCAUGGGCCUUUGAAGACUGACUUGGAUGGUAUCGUGGUCUGCAGUGAGUCUGAAGCGCCAGGUCUGAAGAGAUGGCAUGUUCCUGCAACAAGAAAGUCAUGGAAUUUGGUUGGAGGAAUUCCCAUGAUCGGUCUUGCAGGAGGAGGAUGCAGGAUGAGCCUUUGAAGACUGACUUGGAUGGUAUCGUGGCCUGCAACUGACGCUCCUGGUCGGAAGUGAGGGGUGUUCCUGCAACAGGAAGAUAUCUACUUCACUGGAUUCAGUUCAAAGAUCAAUAAAGUGAAUUAAACUUAA
This is a long non-coding RNA of Sardina pilchardus (European sardine), 527 nucleotides long. RefSeq lists it as uncharacterized. The record is from RefSeq and is a predicted model, not a curated record. Lineage: Eukaryota; Metazoa; Chordata; Actinopteri; Clupeiformes; Clupeidae. The transcript has 8 exons.